GACGAACGCUGGCGGCGUGCUUAACACAUGCAAGUCGAACGGAAAGGCCCUGCUUUUGUGGGGUGCUCGAGUGGCGAACGGGUGAGUAACACGUGAGUAACCUGCCCUUGACUUUGGGAUAACUUCAGGAAACUGGGGCUAAUACCGGAUAGGAGCUCCUGCUGCAUGGUGGGGGUUGGAAAGUUUCGGCGGUUGGGGAUGGACUCGCGGCUUAUCAGCUUGUUGGUGGGGUAGUGGCUUACCAAGGCUUUGACGGGUAGCCGGCCUGAGGGGGUGACCGGCCACAUUGGGACUGAGAAGCGGCCCAGACGCCUACGGGAGGCAGCAGUGGGGAAUAUUGCACAAUGGGCGGAAGCCUGAUGCAGCAACGCCGCGUGCUGGAUGAAGGCCUUCGGGUUGUAAACCGCUUUCGCCUGUGACGAAGCGUGAGUGACGGUAAUGGGUAAAGAAGCACCGGCUAACUACGUG
This 468-nucleotide ribosomal RNA is filed under the name uncultured bacterium. RNAcentral's name for it is "partial 16S ribosomal RNA". It matches the Rfam family "Bacterial small subunit ribosomal RNA", at positions 28 to 507 of the family's 1533-position model. The record is from RNAcentral.